Molecule: ribosomal RNA, 250 nt
Filed under: uncultured prokaryote
Description: partial 16S ribosomal RNA
Rfam family: Bacterial small subunit ribosomal RNA
Source: RNAcentral
UACGUAGGGUGCGAGCGUUGUCCGGAAUUACUGGGCGUAAAGAGCUCGUAGGUGGUUUGUCGCGUCGUCUGUGAAAUUCCGGGGCUUAACUCCGGGCGUGCAGGCGAUACGGGCAUAACUUGAGUACUGUAGGGGAGACUGGAAUUCCUGGUGUAGCGGUGAAAUGCGCAGAUAUCAGGAGGAACACCGGUGGCGAAGGCGGGUCUCUGGGCAGUAACUGACGCUGAGGAGCGAAAGCAUGGGUAGCGAA